RNAcentral lists this transfer RNA (73 nucleotides) under Trachymyrmex cornetzi. It matches the Rfam family "tRNA". Rfam says of the family: Transfer RNA (tRNA) molecules are approximately 80 nucleotides in length. Their secondary structure includes four short double-helical elements and three loops (D, anti-codon, and T loops). The record is from Rfam by way of RNAcentral. Lineage: Eukaryota; Metazoa; Arthropoda; Insecta; Hymenoptera; Formicidae.
GCCUCGGUAGUCUAAAAGUUUAGAACGCUCGCACGGAAUGCAAGAGAUCCAGGUUAGACUCCAGGCCGAGGUA